This 89-nucleotide unclassified non-coding RNA is filed under the name Pseudomonas sp. A214. The record is from RNAcentral. Lineage: Bacteria; Pseudomonadati; Pseudomonadota; Gammaproteobacteria; Pseudomonadales; Pseudomonadaceae.
UGUGGGAGCGAGCCUGCUCGCGAUAGCGACAGCACGUUCAGCAUCAGGGUGUCUGACAUACCGCUAUCGCGAGCAGGCUCGCUCCCACA